UACGGGAGGCAGCAGUGGGGAAUUUUGGACAAUGGGGGAAACCCUGAUCCAGCAAUGCCGCGUGUGUGAAGAAGGCCUUCGGGUUGUAAAGCACUUUUAUCCGGAAAGAAAACUUCGGGGCUAAUACCUCUGGAGGAUGACCGUA
This 145-nucleotide ribosomal RNA is filed under the name uncultured bacterium. RNAcentral's name for it is "partial 16S ribosomal RNA". It matches the Rfam family "Bacterial small subunit ribosomal RNA", at positions 340 to 477 of the family's 1533-position model. The record is from RNAcentral.